Molecule: ribosomal RNA, 497 nt
Filed under: uncultured bacterium
Lineage: Bacteria
Description: partial 16S ribosomal RNA
Rfam family: Bacterial small subunit ribosomal RNA
Source: RNAcentral
GAUGAACGCUGGCGGCGUGCCUAAUACAUGCAAGUCGAGCGAACAGACGAGGAGCUUGCUCCUCUGACGUUAGCGGCGGACAGGUGAGUAACACGUGGAUAACCUACCUAUAAGACUGGGAUAACUUCGGGAAACCGGAGCUAAUACCGGAUAAUAUAUUGAACCGCAUGGUUCAAUAGUGAAAGACGGUUUUGCUGCCACUUAUAGAUGGAUCCGCGCCGCAUUAGCUAGUUGGUAAGGUAACGGCUUACCAAGGCAACGAUGCGUAGCCGACCUGAGAGGGUGAUCGGCCACACUGGAACUGAGACACGGUCCAGACUCCUACGGGAGGCAGCAGUAGGGAAUCUUCCGCAAUGGGCGAAAGCCUGACGGAGCAACGCCGCGUGAGUGAUGAAGGUCUUCGGAUCGUAAAACUCUGUUAUUAGGGAAGAACAAAUGUGUAAGUAACUAUGCACGUCUUGACGGUACCUAAUCAGAAAGCCACGGCUAACUACGUG